This 855-nucleotide ribosomal RNA is filed under the name uncultured archaeon. Its description in RNAcentral is "bacterial SSU rRNA". It matches the Rfam family "Archaeal small subunit ribosomal RNA", at positions 39 to 899 of the family's 1478-position model. The record is from RNAcentral.
UUCGAUUAAGCCAUGCGAGUCGCGAGUCUUAGGGACUCGGCGUACCGCUCAGUAACACGUGGGUAACCUGCCCUAUGCUGGGGAAUAACCUCGGGAAACUGAGAAUAAUGCCCCAUAGUUCACCACGCCUGGAACGGUGGGUGGAUGAAAGCUCCGGCGGCAUAGGAUGGGCCUGCGGCGUAUCAGGUCGUAGGGGGUGUAAUGUACCCUCUAGCCAUCGACGCGUACGGGUGUUGGGAGACAUUGCCCGGAGAUGGAUUCUGAGACACGAAUCCAGACCCUACGGGGUGCAGCAGGCGCGAAAACUUGGCAAUGCGAGAAAUCGUGACCAGGGAACUCCAAGUGCAUCGGGUAAGACCGAUGCUUCUCUUGACUCUUCAAAGGUCUUGGAAUAAGGGGUGGGUAAGGACGGUGCCAGCCGCCGCGGUAAUACCGGCGCCUCAAGUGGUAGUCGCUUUUAUUGGGCCUAAAACGUCCGUAGCCGGUUUGGUACAUUCGUGGGUAAAUCAAGGCGCUCAACGUCUUGAAUUCUGCGAGCACGGCCAGACUUGGGACCGGGUGAGGUGUGGGGUACUCUCAGGGUAGGGGUAAAAUCCUGUCAUCCUGAGAGGACCACCUGUUGCGAAGGCGCCACACUAGAACGGAUCCGACGGUCAGGGACGAAGCCUAGGGGCACGAACCGGAUUAGAUACCCGGGUAGUCCUAGGUGUAAACGCUGUGGACUUGAUGUUGGGAGUGCUCCGAGCACCCUCAGUGUCGAAGCGAAGGUGAUAAGUCCACUGCCUGGGGAGUACGGUCGCAAGGCUGAAACUUAAAGGAAUUGGCGGGGGAGCACUGCAACCUGAGGAUUGUGCG